AGGAGGCGAAUACUUAUCUAGUGAGUUUGUGACAUAUCUAGGAGAGAAUUGGAUUCUCUCUCGGUGGAUUUCUUUUCAGAACACAGUGUAUCUGAAAGGAGAAGUUGAACUUUGUUAGACAUAGUUCAAUCCACAAUAGGAUUCACUUCUCUGCCUGUUUCAGGAUUGUGCUCUUGUGUGAUUACCUAUUUUACUCUGAAAAUAUACUGAGUAAGUC
RNAcentral lists this long non-coding RNA (217 nucleotides) under Elaeis guineensis (African oil palm). Its description in RNAcentral is "long non-coding RNA (EGUI_LNC082702)". The record is from RNAcentral. Lineage: Eukaryota; Viridiplantae; Streptophyta; Magnoliopsida; Arecales; Arecaceae.